Pongo abelii (Sumatran orangutan) is the source of this 117-nucleotide unclassified non-coding RNA. It matches the Rfam family "Metazoan signal recognition particle RNA". Rfam says of the family: The signal recognition particle (SRP) is a universally conserved ribonucleoprotein. It is involved in the co-translational targeting of proteins to membranes. The eukaryotic SRP consists of a 300-nucleotide 7S RNA and six proteins: SRPs 72, 68, 54, 19, 14, and 9. NCBI's taxonomy places the organism in Eukaryota, Metazoa, Chordata, Mammalia, Primates, Hominidae. The record is from Ensembl.
GCCGGGCAUGGUGGCUCAUGCCUGUAAUCCCAGCACUUUGGGAGGCCGAGGCCGGUGGAUCACCUGAGGUCAGGAGUUCGAGACCAGCCUGACCAACAUGGUGAAACCCCGUCUCUA